GGUGAUGUCAAGGCUAGAGGAGGUGAUGUCAAGGCUAGAGGGGGUGUUGUCAAGGCUAGAGGAGGUGAUAUCAAGGUUAGAGGAGGUGUUGUUAAGGCUAGAGGAGGUGAUAUAAAGGUUAGAGGAGGUGUUGUCAAGGCUAGAGGAGGUGAUAUCAAGGUUAGAGGAGGUGAUAUCAAGGUUAGAGGAUGUGUUGUCAAGGCUAGAGGAUGUGUUGUCAAGGCUAGAGGAUGUGUUGUCAAGGCAAGAUGAGGUGUUGUCAAUGCUAGAUGAGGUGUGGUCCAGGCUAAAUGAGGUGUUGUCAAGGCUAGAUGAGGUGUUGUCAAGGCUAGAUGAGGUGUUGUCAAGGCUAAAUGAGGUGUUGUCAAGGUUAGAUAAGGUGUUAUCAAGGCCAGAGAAGCUGUUGUCAAGGUUAGAGGAGGUGAUGUCAAGGUUAGAUGAGGUGUUGUCAAGGCUAGAUGAGGUGUUGUCCAGGCUAAAUGAGGUGUUGUCAAGGCAAGAUGAGGUGUUGUCAAGGCU
This is a long non-coding RNA of Oncorhynchus tshawytscha (Chinook salmon), 519 nucleotides long. Lineage: Eukaryota; Metazoa; Chordata; Actinopteri; Salmoniformes; Salmonidae. The record is from Ensembl.